UAUAGUACCAGGGGUGUUUUACCAGGUGACUAUUACUAGGGGUGUUUUACCAGGUGACUAUAGUACCAGGGGUGUUUUACCAGGUGACUAUAGUACCAGGGGUGUUUUACCAGGUGACUGUAGUACCAGGGGUGUUUUACCAGGUGACUGUAGUACUAGGGGUGUUUUACCAGGUGACUAUAGUACUAGGGGUGUUUUACCAGGUGACUAUAGUACUAGGGGUGUAUUACCAGGUGACUAUAGUACCAGGGGUGUAUUACCAGGUGACUAUAGUACCAGAGGUGUUUUACCAGGUGACUAUUACUAGGGGUGUUUUACCAGGUGACUAUAGUACCAGGGGUGUUUUACCAGGUGACUAUAGUACCAGGGGUGUUUUAC
This is a long non-coding RNA of Oncorhynchus keta (chum salmon), 378 nucleotides long. RefSeq lists it as uncharacterized. The record is from RefSeq and is a predicted model, not a curated record. Lineage: Eukaryota; Metazoa; Chordata; Actinopteri; Salmoniformes; Salmonidae. The transcript has 3 exons.